UGGUGAAACUUCGGAGGGAUCAUUACUGAGUUUACGCUCUACAACCCUUUGUGAACAUACCUAUAACUGUUGCUUCGGCGGGCAGGGUCUCCGUGACCCUCCCGGCCUCCCGCCCCCGGGCGGGUCGGCGCCCGCCGGAGGAUAACCAAACUCUGAUUUAACGACGUUUCUUCUGAGUGGUACAAGCAAAUAAUCAAAACUUUUAACAACGGAUCUCUUGGUUCUGGCAUCGAUGAAGAACGCAGCGAAAUGCGAUAAGUAAUGUGAAUUGCAGAAUUCAGUGAAUCAUCGAAUCUUUGAACGCACAUUGCGCCCGCCAGCAUUCUGGCGGGCAUGCCUGUUCGAGCGUCAUUUCAACCCUCAAGCUCUGCUUGGUGUUGGGGCCCUACAGCCGAUGUAGGCCCUCAAAGGUAGUGGCGGACCCUCCCGGAGCCUCCUUUGCGUAGUAACUUUACGUCUCGCACUGGGAUCCGGAGGGACUCUUGCCGUAAAACCCCCAAUUCUCCAAAGGUUGACCUCGGAUCAGGUAGGAAUA
RNAcentral lists this ribosomal RNA (535 nucleotides) under Colletotrichum horii. Its description in RNAcentral is "eukaryotic LSU rRNA". The stretch from base 198 to 351 matches the Rfam family "5.8S ribosomal RNA". The record is from RNAcentral. Lineage: Eukaryota; Fungi; Ascomycota; Sordariomycetes; Glomerellales; Glomerellaceae.